AUUGAACGCUGGCGGCAGGCCUAACACAUGCAAGUCGAGCGGAUGAGUGGAGCUUGCUCCAUGAUUCAGCGGCGGACGGGCGAGUAAUGCCUAGGAAUCUGCCUAUUAGUGGGGGACAACGUUUCGAAAGGAACGCUAAUACCGCAUACGUCCUACGGGAGAAAGCAGGGGACCUUCGGGCCUUGCGCUAAUAGAUGAGC
Molecule: ribosomal RNA, 200 nt
Filed under: uncultured bacterium
Lineage: Bacteria
Description: partial 16S ribosomal RNA
Rfam family: Bacterial small subunit ribosomal RNA
Source: RNAcentral